Long non-coding RNA from Hipposideros armiger (great roundleaf bat), 628 nucleotides. RefSeq lists it as uncharacterized. Lineage: Eukaryota; Metazoa; Chordata; Mammalia; Chiroptera; Hipposideridae. The record is from RefSeq and is a predicted model, not a curated record. The transcript is spliced from 3 exons.
ACUUUUUUGGAAAUACUACUUUAUAGUACUGCAGUGAUGUCAUUAAAUGAUACAUUUGAUAUCAAAAAUAUCUUCAGGAGAUAUUUAUUCCCUUCUUUUGUUUAUAGGUUUGGCAGAAUGGCAUGCUCCUACUGCGGGAAUGUUUCUAUGGGUUAAAAUUAAGGGCAUUAAUGAUGUAAAAAAACUGAUUGAAGAAAAAGCCAUUAAAAAAGAGAUAUUAAUGGUUCCUGGAAGUGAGUUCUACGUUGAUAGCUCAGCUCCUAGCCCUUUCUUUAGAGCGUCCUUCUCUUUGGCUUCUCCAGAACAAAUGGAUGUGGCUUUCCAGAGAUUAGCCCAACUUAUAAAAGAAUCCUUAUAAAGACAUCAAACUCUUCAUAGCACUCGUAGAUUUUUCAGAUAAUGAUUUCUAUAUUUUAGCAGCAAGAAAUGAUCAUUGAUGCUACACAGGUUGGAUUUCAUCAAAUAUGUCAUUUCUGUAGUAAUCUAACUAGACAACUUUUAAAAUGCCCUUAAAUCCCCCAGAUUGCCAAACUACAUUUAUAAUCCAUUUAUACCUUUUGAUAAGUUUUCAGCUUGCAAAAUAAAUUAUUUUUAUCUGACAUUUUAUUGUAAAGAACUCUGUGGUUGC